Molecule: ribosomal RNA, 292 nt
Filed under: uncultured Planctomycetota bacterium
Lineage: Bacteria; Pseudomonadati; Planctomycetota
Description: uncultured planctomycete partial 16S ribosomal RNA
Source: RNAcentral
GGACUACCCGGGUAUCUAAUCCCGUUUGCUCCCCUGGCUUUCGCGCCUCAGCGUCAGAAGAGGUCCAGCCGUUCGCUUUCGCCACCGGCGUUCCUUCCGAUAUCAACGCAUUUCACCGCUCCACCGGAAGUUCCAACGGCCCCUACCUCGCUCGAGACCGCCAGUAUCAAAGGCUGUUUUCCGGUUAAGCCGAAAGAUUUCACCCCUGACUUGGCAGUCCGCCUACGCGCCCUUUAAGCCCAGUGAUUCCGAACAACGUUCGCACGGUUCGUCUUACCGCGGCUGCUGGCAC